UACGUAGGGUGCAAGCGUUGUCCGGAAUUAUUGGGCGUAAAGAGCUCGUAGGCGGUCUGUCGCGUCGGCUGUGAAAACCUGGGGCUCAACCCCAGGCUUGCGGGCGAUACGGGCAGGCUAGAGUUCGGUAGGGGAGACUGGAAUUCCUGGUGUAGCGGUGAAAUGCGCAGAUAUCAGGAGGAACACCGGUGGCGAAGGCGGGUCUCUGGGCCGAUACUGACGCUGAGACGCGAAAGCGUGGGGAGCAAACAGG
RNAcentral lists this ribosomal RNA (253 nucleotides) under uncultured bacterium. RNAcentral's name for it is "partial 16S ribosomal RNA". It matches the Rfam family "Bacterial small subunit ribosomal RNA", at positions 524 to 776 of the family's 1533-position model. The record is from RNAcentral.